UGGGGUGUAGCUUAAUGGUAGAGCUACUUGACUAGUAUACAGGAAGCCCUGGGUUCCAUCUCCAGCACCGCAA
RNAcentral lists this transfer RNA (73 nucleotides) under Marmota monax (woodchuck). It matches the Rfam family "tRNA". From Rfam's summary of the family: Transfer RNA (tRNA) molecules are approximately 80 nucleotides in length. The record is from Rfam by way of RNAcentral. Lineage: Eukaryota; Metazoa; Chordata; Mammalia; Rodentia; Sciuridae.